Molecule: long non-coding RNA, 1768 nt
Organism: Equus quagga
Lineage: Eukaryota; Metazoa; Chordata; Mammalia; Perissodactyla; Equidae
Exons: 3
Source: RefSeq, a predicted model, not a curated record
AACAUCUCUUUCCUUGCUCUUUAUCAGGGAGAGUCUGCUACUCUUUAGCUUGGAAGAACAUCACAAUUAGGGACAAGAUCAUUAUUUCCAAAUACCUGGAAGGGAAUGAAGAGAAGGCUUGGUGCUGUGUGACUCAGAGAGCAGAUUGAGGACUUAGGGAGUGGAGAUUUUAGGGGAACGAAUUUGAGUUCAGUGUAAAAAUCUUACCAUCAAUUAAGGUGCUCUGGCAAUAGAAAUGAGUUGCCAUGAUAAGUGGCAAGUUCAUCUUUAAAGUUGUGAGGCUGCUCUCUCGCCUGUUUGUGAUGCCUUAGAAGAGAGUCCUGAAUUUACAGAAUAUAUAGGAUUUAGAGAUCGUUAAUCUAAUCCUCCAUUUCACACAAGUGGAAUGUGAGGGCCAGAGAGGCCAAGCUACCUGCCCAGGACAUGCAUCUAGUAGAUUUUGCUUCAAAGGGGAAAUGAUAAAAACAGUCAUUUUUAGAUUUAUUUUUUUUGGUUCAAGUUGCAUCUAACUUUUGUCAUCAACAUAGACUGGAUAGUGCAGAGAACGAGAAUUUUUAAAAACUAAAAGAAUUGGUGAUGGUGAUGGGAAGUUAAUAAGUAAUUUGUAUUAUUUUCUUUUCCUUGUAACUAUUUCAUGGUUUUACCUCUUAAUUACUCAUAUCUCUUAUUAUCUUGUGCUUGAUUUUCAUCACUUGAACUUAAAAUACACUAAGAAUCCUUUGAGUGUUUUUUUCCUUUCUAGUUAUUUAUCAGUCUUUUUCUUCCCUUACUCACCCAGAUUUCUUUAACAGUAAGAACCAACACUUGCCAUCUGUAAUAACUGUCUCCCAUUUACUCCUCAGUUGCUUGCAGUCUAUCUUCUGUGCCUUCCCUCCCCCAUCUCACUACAUUGACUAAGGUUUUCAGCGACUUCCACAUGGCCAGUGCCAGGGCAUGUUUUCAGUCCUUCUGGAAGCCCUCUUCCGGCUCUCCUCAUCCCUCUCAGACCAUUCAGUACUUCUUUUGUGGUCUCCUCUUCCUGCUCCUGCCCUGACUCUCAACAGGCCCAGAGAGCUGGUGAGUCCUGGCCUUUUCUCUCCAGGUUCAUAUUCCCAGAUGCACUUGCCUGUUGAGCUACUCUGGCCUCCUGUGUGCUCAUCAUCUGCCUUACCCUUUACAUUCAGACAGUUCUGAGCUGUUGGUGUUGCUGGCCACUCUCAUUUACCUUUCUACCGCUGCCUUUGCAGUGCAUGCUGUUUUGUUCUGCAAAGGCAGACAGGCAUAGAAAGGCUAAGGAAUUUGCUGUUAGGCAGCUAAUGGGAGUAGGCUGAGAUAGCUAAACUUUGCCUCCCUGUUUUGUUUACCUGCCUGGGCCCGACUUCCUACUGGGCUGUGAACUCGUUGAAGCCAGGGACUGUUUCCUGCUCAUCUGUCAGUCACCUCACAGAGUCUGCCCUGUAAUUGUUUGUUGAGUAAGUGAUUAGAAUCUUACUAGAACAUAAUGUGUUCAUUCUCUUGCAGAUAAACUGGAAGCAGAUCAUGUCUUCCAAAACAUAAGUACAUACUGAAUAAAACCUAUGAAGAUACUACCUAAGUAGCCUAUACAUAGGGGUAUUGUUCUGUUCCUGAAUGACAGAUCAAGAAGCUACUCUAGAAGUCGGAGCAGAGGAUGGUACAGCAGAGGCCGCACCAGGAGCCGGAGUAGUUCCUACCGCAGUUACAAAAGUCACAGGACAUCCAGCAGGAGCAGAUCCAGGAGCAGCUCAUAUGAUCCCCACAGUCGGUCCAG